Molecule: ribosomal RNA, 460 nt
Filed under: uncultured bacterium
Lineage: Bacteria
Description: partial 16S ribosomal RNA
Rfam family: Bacterial small subunit ribosomal RNA
Source: RNAcentral
CCUACGGGGGGCAGCAGUGAGGAAUAUUGGUCAAUGGGCUUACGCCUGAACCAGCCAAGUCGCGUGAGGGAAGACUGCCCUAUGGGUUGUAAACCUCUGUUGUCAGGGAGCAACGCCGGCUACGAGUAGCCGGACUGAGAGUACCUGAAGAAAAAGCAUCGGCUAACUCCGUGCCAGCAGCGGCGGUAAUACGGAGGAUGAGAGCGUUGUCCGGAUUUAUUGGGUUUAAAGGGUGCGUAGGCGGAAUGCCAAGUGAGCGGUAAAAGCGCGGGGCUCAACCUCGCUCCGACGUUGAGACUGGCGGUGUUGAGUGGGCGAGAAGUAUGCGGAAUGCGUGGUGUAGCGGUGAAAUGCAUAGAUAUCGCGCAGAACUCCGAUUGCGAAGGCAGCAUACCGGAGCCCAACUGACGCUGAAGCACGAAAGCGAGGGUAUCGAACAGGAUUAGAUACCCCUGUAGUC